GACGAACGCUGGCGGCGUGCCUAAUACAUGCAAGUCGAGCGGACUUUCAAGAAGCUUGCUUUUUGAAAGUUAGCGGCGGACGGGUGAGUAACACGUGGGCAACCUGCCUGCAAGACGGGGAUAACUCCGGGAAACCGGGGCUAAUACCGGAUAAUAUCUUCCUUCGCAUGAAGGAAGGUUGAAAGGCGGCGCAAGCUGCCGCUUGCAGAUGGGCCCGCGGCGCAUUAGCUAGUUGGUGAGGUAACGGCUCACCAAGGCGACGAUGCGUAGCCGACCUGAGAGGGUGAUCGGCCACACUGGGACUGAGACACGGCCCAGACUCCUACGGGAGGCAGCAGUAGGGAAUCUUCCGCAAUGGACGAAAGUCUGACGGAGCAACGCCGCGCGAGCGAAGAAGGUCUUCGGAUCGUAAAGCUCUGUUGUCAGGGAAGAACAAGUACCGUUCGAACAGGGCGGUACCUUGACGGUACCUGACCAGAAAGCCACGGCUAACUACGUG
Molecule: ribosomal RNA, 499 nt
Filed under: uncultured bacterium
Lineage: Bacteria
Description: partial 16S ribosomal RNA
Rfam family: Bacterial small subunit ribosomal RNA
Source: RNAcentral